UUUCUGUUUGGUUGCCGCCCUAACGGCCAGAACUGAAGCACCUUGCAAGGAAUGAGGUUGGUUCUUGAAGUCCGUGCUGACUGGCUGGGCGCAUUUGCGCAUUUGCUUCUCUGGCUGCAAAAUGGCCCGCAACAGCACUCACUAAUUUGUUGCUAACUUCAGCAACUGUGCGGACAGGUCUCUGAGGCUUCUGAGCCGCCCUAUGUCCAGUAGAUCUGGGCGCCUCAGAACCUGUCACAGCCGACGGAAGCGUUUAUCUGAGUUUCUUGUUUCUUCCCAACCUUUUGAUUUUCGCACCAUUACGCGCUCAACUAUGCCUCUUCUUUUGUCCUAUGGUCUCAACUAAUUAAAGGAAGAAAAGCAA
This 364-nucleotide long non-coding RNA is filed under the name Pan troglodytes (chimpanzee). Its description in RNAcentral is "lincRNA". Lineage: Eukaryota; Metazoa; Chordata; Mammalia; Primates; Hominidae. The record is from RNAcentral.